GGGCCCGUAGCUUAGAUCGGCUGGAGCGCCCGGCUGAUAACCGGGAGGUCAUGUGUUCAAAUCACAUCGGGCCCA
RNAcentral lists this transfer RNA (75 nucleotides) under Methanobacteriota archaeon. Its description in RNAcentral is "Euryarchaeota archaeon (anaerobic digester metagenome) tRNA-Ile". It matches the Rfam family "tRNA". From Rfam's summary of the family: Transfer RNA (tRNA) molecules are approximately 80 nucleotides in length. Their secondary structure includes four short double-helical elements and three loops (D, anti-codon, and T loops). The record is from RNAcentral. Lineage: Archaea; Methanobacteriati; Methanobacteriota.